Molecule: long non-coding RNA, 3176 nt
Organism: Ictalurus punctatus (channel catfish)
Lineage: Eukaryota; Metazoa; Chordata; Actinopteri; Siluriformes; Ictaluridae
Source: Ensembl
AAUAUCUUGCACAAAAUAAGCUAUAGAGAAAAGUGCACUUCUGCAGCACUAGUAGCAAUUUUCAUUCCAUUGCAAGGUGAGCUGUUCCUUGCCUCUGGCAUUCUCAUAACUUGUGAAAGAAUGGAAGGAGGUAUGUACCUUGAGUGUGUUUUCUUUUUGUCCAUGCCAGAGAGGUGUAACUUGAUGAAUCAUUUAAUAAUGAAGUGCCAAAUCAGUCUGUCUCUCUGUCUCUGCAAAGCCUCUUCAAUGCAAGCCUCUGAUCACUCUCAGCAUUAGCUCUGAUCUGCUUUUGGUGCUUCGCAAUUUUAAAAAAAAAUGAAGACAAAAACAAAAAGAUAUGGCAGAAGAGCCUAUUUAAAGUUAGUGAUUGAACCUGAGCUACAAAACUCAAAUUUUUGGAAGGGUCGUGUUAUGGAGAAGAAGGAAAAAAAAAGACAAACCAGGUUAGUUCUUCAAGAACUGUGUAUACAUUAACAUUAUUUUUCCAACUGCCUUCCUUUUAAUGGCACAUACUAACAUACCACCCACAAUCUGCACAACCUCCAGGCUCUGAACACUGUGCUAUAGAGGCUCAGGAACAAGCACAGGAACACUGCCACUUGUGCACACACACAGAGCAUGUCAUGUAUAUUCUUGACUCAUGACAGACACAGAUAUUUCUCUAAAAUGUAACAAUCCUAGAUAUUUGAUCACUCAAGAAAUUACAUGUGCAAUAAAUUGUCACUGAUGCUCAGUAAUGCAAACAUUACACACACUUCCUUCCACUCAUACGUUUUCACUAGUGUUUUAUCGUCAGAUUGACUUCUUUAUUUAACGUUACAGUUUACAUCAAUAUAUUGUUUAUAAUGAAAGGCAUGAAGGUGAAAGGUUUCAGAACCUUUACUGCCUUGAGUACCUUUAUAACUUUAGGAAGCUGCAACACACAGCUCCAUAGCAGACAGCAUGGCUUGGGGUUAGGGUUGCCUGGAGAUUACUCUAGAGAGUUAAAGUGCUUAAUUGUUUGAUCCUGACUAAUUAUUUGGUGUCAGCACAAUUCCCUGUUAACUGCUCCCUGGUGGAUGCUUCACCUGGCCUGGCUGUGCAGUGCACUAUUGAUAUUUAUAGCAUCACAUGUACACUUGGGGUCAGUUGGGCUCAGUUUACUCGUUCAGUACUAUACAAUUUAUCUACAGUUAAAAAGUAUAUAUUUUAUCAUUGUUUUACAUAUACAUUUCUUUGUUUUUUUGUUUACUGGUUGUAAUGUAUUUUAUAUAUAGUUUUACAAAAUUUCAUUCCAGAGAGUACAGAGACAUUUUGGACAGAGACAUUGAUUGAUUAAUUUGUUCCUUUAUUUGUCUCUAUCUACCUAUCUGUCCAUCUAGCCACCCAUCCAUGAUCCAUCCAUCUACCCACCCAUCUGUCUAUCAGUCUAUCUGUCAAUCUGUCUGUAUGCCUCUGUCCAUCCAUCCAUUCACCCACCUGUCCAUCUGUCUGUCUAUCCAUUUAUCCAUACAUCCAUUUAUCUAUUCACCCACCAUCCAUCCAUACAUCCAUUUAUCUAUUCACCCACCAUCCAUCCAUACAUCCAUUUAUCUAUUCACCCACCAUCCAUCCAUACAUCCAUUUAUCUAUUCACCCACCAUCCAUCCAUACAUCCAUUUAUCUAUUCAUCCAUCCAUCUAUCGCUCCCUCUGCCCAGCUAUCUAUCCAUCUAUACAUUUAUUUAUUUAUCUAUCCCAUCCACCCAUCCAUUUACAGUGCUGUGGAAAAGUAUUCACCCCCAUCCUGAUUUCUUCUCUUUUUGUGUAAAUCUCAUACUAAAUUGUUUCAGAAAUUCAAACAAAAUCUAAGAUACAACAAAGGCAACCUGAGUAAGCACAAAAUACAGUUUUUAAAUGAUAGUUAUUUAUUAAAGCAAAAAUGUUAUCCAAUACCAACUGGGCCUGUGUGAAAAUGUAUUUGCCUCAGUAGUUGCUAAUUUCCCCAACAUCUGAAACUGCAUUCAUAAUAGGGUUCAGGUGGACUAGACACAACCAGGCCUGAUUAUUGAAAACCCUGUUCAAUCAAAUAGACACUUAAAUAGAACUUUUUCAGCAGCAUGAAGUUUAAAAAGUCUUACCCAGUUACACACUAUGCCAAAGUAAAAAAACAACAACAAACAAACAAACAAAAAACACAAAUAAUGAGGAAGAAGGUGAUUGAAAUUCAUCAGUCUGGGAAGGGUUACAAAGCUAUUUCAAAGGCUGUGGGACUCCAAAGUACCACAGUGAGAGCCAUUAUCUCCAAAUGGAAAAAACUCUGCACAGUAGUGAAAAUUCCCAGAAGUGGCCAACCUUCCAAAAUUCCUCCAAGAGCACAGCAACUACUCAUCCAGGAAGUCACAAAAGAGCCAAGGACAACACCAAAAGGACCUACAGGCCUCUCUUGCAUCAAUAAAGGUCACUGUUCAUGACUCCACUAUCAGAAAGACACUGGGCAAAAAUGGCUUCCAUGGAAGAGUGGAGAGGCGAAAACCACUGCCAACCCAGAAGAACAUUAAGCCAAAACACACCUUGAUGAUCCUCAAACCUUUCCGAGAAUGUUCGAUGGACUGAUGAGUCGAAAGUAGAAUUGUUUGGAAGACAGGGGCCCCAUUACAUCCGACAUAAACCAAACACAGAAUUCCACCAAAAGAACAUCAUACAUAUGGUCAAGCAUGGUGGUGGAAGUGUGAUGGUGUGGGGAUGCUUUGCUGCUUCAGGGCCUGGGCAACUUGCAAUAAUUGAGGGGAAACAUGACUCCUGAUCUCUACCAGAAAAUCCUAAAGGAGAAUGUCCGGCCUUCUGUCCAUAAAUUGAAACUCAAGCGCAAGUGCAGCAAGCAGCAAGAUAAUGAUCCAAAGCAUAGAAGUAAGUCCAACUCUGAAUGACUAAUAAAAAAACUUUUUAUUUAGUUUUGUUAUGGCCUAAAGUCCUGACAUCAACCAGCUGAGAUGCUGUGGCAGGACCUUAAACAGGCAGUUCAUGCUUGAAAACCCACUACUGUGGCUGAACUAAAGCAGUUCUGCAAUGAAGAGUGGGCCAAAAUUCCACCACAGUGCUGUGAAAAUUUUCUCCAGUUAUCGGAAGUGCUUGGUUGCAGUUAUUGCUGCUAAAGGUGACACAAACAGAUUUUAAGUUUAAGGGAGCAGUUGUACCUGUAAGGUUUUUUUUUUUUUU